AGCUCCAAUAGCGUAUAUUAAAAUUGUUGCAGUUAAAAAGCUCGUAGUUGGAUUUCUGGUUUGGCGCACUUGGCCCGUCUCGGUUACGGGAUUGUGAGCUGGUGUGCGCCUUCCAUCCUUCGAGAAAACACUUCUUCUCUUCACUGGGCGGGAGUGCUAUCUCGAUCUUUUACUUUGAAAAAAUUAGAGUGUUUAAAGCAGGCAUUUGCUAUGAAUACAUUAGCAUGGAAUAAUAAUUUAGGACUUUGGUCUUAUUUUGUUGGUUUCUAGGACUAAGGUAAUGAUUGAUAGGGACAGUUGGGGGUGCUAGUAUUCAGCGGCCAGAGGUGAAAUUCUUGGAUUCGCUGAAGACUAACUUAUGCGAAAGCAUUCACCAAGGAUGUCUUCU
This 388-nucleotide ribosomal RNA is filed under the name uncultured Cercozoa. RNAcentral's name for it is "SSU rRNA". It matches the Rfam family "Eukaryotic small subunit ribosomal RNA", at positions 587 to 972 of the family's 1831-position model. Lineage: Eukaryota; Cercozoa. The record is from RNAcentral.